GAUGAACGCUGGCGGCGUGCUUAACACAUGCAAGUCGAACGGAGUUGUUUCGCUGACGAGGCUUCGGCCAAAUCUUGAAGCAACUUAGUGGCGGACGGGUGAGUAACGCGUGGGUAACCUGCCAUAUACAGGGGGAUAACACUUAGAAAUAGGUGCUAAUACCGCAUAAGCGCACGGAGCUGCAUGGCUCAGUGUGAAAAACUCCGGUGGUAUAUGAUGGACCCGCGUCUGAUUAGCUAGUUGGUGAGGUAACGGCCCACCAAGGCGACGAUCAGUAGCCGGCCUGAGAGGGUGAACGGCCACAUUGGGACUGAGACACGGCCCAA
This 326-nucleotide ribosomal RNA is filed under the name uncultured bacterium. Its description in RNAcentral is "bacterial SSU rRNA". It matches the Rfam family "Bacterial small subunit ribosomal RNA", at positions 28 to 334 of the family's 1533-position model. The record is from RNAcentral.